AACAGGAUUAGAUACCCUGGUAGUCCACGCCGUAAACGAUGUCGACUUGGAGGUUGUUCCCUUGAGGAGUGGCUUCCGGAGCUAACGCGUUAAGUCGACCGCCUGGGGAGUACGGCCGCAAGGUUAAAACUCAAAUGAAUUGACGGGGGCCCGCACAAGCGGUGGAGCAUGUGGUUUAAUUCGAUGCAACGCGAAGAACCUUACCUACUCUUGACAUCCAGAGAACUUAGCAGAGAUGCUUUGGUGCCUUCGGGAACUCUGAGACAGGUGCUGCAUGGCUGUUGUCAGCUCGUGUUGUGAAAUGUUGGGUUAAGUCCCGCAACGAGCGCAACCCUUAUCCUUUGUUGCCAGCGGUUCGGCCGGGAACUCAAAGGAGACUGCCAGUGAUAAACUGGAGGAAGGUGGGGAUGACGUCAAGUCAUCAUGGCCCUUACGAGUAGGGCUACACACGUGCUACAAUGGCGCAUACAAAGAGAAGCGACCUCGCGAGAGCAAGCGGACCUCAUAAAGUGCGUCGUAGUCCGGAUCGGAGUCUGCAACUCGACUCCGUGAAGUCGGAAUCGCUAGUAAUCGUAGAUCAGAAUGCUACGGUGAAUACGUUCCCGGGCCUUGUACACACCGCCCGUCACACCAUGGGAGUGGGUUGCAAAAGAAGUAGGUAGCUUAACCUUCGGGAGGGCGCUUACCACUUUGUGAUUCAUGACUGGGGUGAAGUCGUAACAAGGUAACC
Molecule: ribosomal RNA, 730 nt
Filed under: uncultured bacterium
Lineage: Bacteria
Description: bacterial SSU rRNA
Rfam family: Bacterial small subunit ribosomal RNA
Source: RNAcentral